Molecule: long non-coding RNA, 572 nt
Organism: Amphiprion ocellaris (clown anemonefish)
Lineage: Eukaryota; Metazoa; Chordata; Actinopteri; Pomacentridae
Source: Ensembl
CAGCGCGCUAGCGGAUCUAGUCUGCUAUAUAUCUAUGGUCGGAACGUCUGGUAGCGUCUCUGGCUGCUUUUGACCCUGUUUUUGGAGUACAACACGGUGGAAGCUGAAUUAGUGAGGAUGACUCCUGCUCCUGUCAUCUCUAAGCUCCUCACACAUCUUUACCUGCACAUGAGGAAAAUCACUCCUGUAGAAUGCAGAUGUUCAGAGGGAGAUGAUGCCACAUCUGGUCCAGCUGAUGGAAGGUCUUGAAGUUCUCUGACUGGCCUCGACUGAAGAUGGUCGUCUCACUGGAUUUAAGUCUAAUGGAACAGCUGGAGUUGUAACAUCUGUCCUGAUAUUGAUCAUGAAGUAUUGAUCAGAAUACUUACGGUCAGCAGUCAUCCCUGAAGUUUUACAUUAAAAUCUUUACUUGUGUUGUGAACUUUGGUAAGAAGCAGAAACUUUAGCAUUGCCAUGGAUACAUGGGUGUUAAAUUCUGUCCAUGUUUCCAUUUUGGGAAAUUCAGUCCAGCAGAUGAGUUUGUUUUUACUGCCAGCUACCAUUCAGUCUGAGAUAUUAAGAAUAAAUAAAUG